This 30-nucleotide non-coding RNA is filed under the name Homo sapiens (human). The record is from RNAcentral. Lineage: Eukaryota; Metazoa; Chordata; Mammalia; Primates; Hominidae.
UGGGAGUUCACGUGAAGUAGUGAAUGGGUC